Molecule: non-coding RNA, 109 nt
Organism: Acanthosepion pharaonis
Lineage: Eukaryota; Metazoa; Mollusca; Cephalopoda; Sepiida; Sepiidae
Source: the annotation of a GenBank genome assembly
UUACGGCCAUAUCACGUUGAAACAUUCGUUUUCGUGCGAUCACCGAAGUUAAGCAACGUCGACCCUAGUCAGUACCUAGAUGGGUCACCGCUUGGGAAUACUAGGUAUU